This is a small nuclear RNA of Callipepla squamata (scaled quail), 188 nucleotides long. It matches the Rfam family "U2 spliceosomal RNA". From Rfam's summary of the family: U2 is a small nuclear RNA (snRNA) component of the spliceosome (involved in pre-mRNA splicing). Complementary binding between U2 snRNA (in an area lying towards the 5' end but 3' to hairpin I) and the branchpoint sequence (BPS) of the intron results the bulging out of an unpaired adenosine, on the BPS, which initiates a nucleophilic attack at the intronic 5' splice site, thus starting the first of two transesterification reactions that mediate splicing. NCBI's taxonomy places the organism in Eukaryota, Metazoa, Chordata, Aves, Galliformes, Odontophoridae. The record is from Rfam.
ACUGUUUCUUAGACUUUUGACUAAGACCAAGUGUAGUAUCUGCUCUUAUCUGUUUAAUAUCUGACACCUCCUCUAGGAGAGGACUUCACAUUAAAUGGAAUUUUGGGCAUGGAAGUUGGACCCAGAGCUUGCUUCAGCCACUCCAUGCAUCAUCCUGGUAUGGGAGUACCUUGAUUUUUAUUUUCCCA